AGCCGGCCGCGGAGGUGGUUUUCCGUGGUCAAGCGUUCGAGCCCGUCCCGCAGGCAAAUCCGCGGGGCGUCGGGGCGAGGCGUGAUGAUGGGGGCCUUACGGCCCGAAUCCGGUGAUCCGUGGUGCCGAGAAAAGCUUCGGCGUCAGGCGCGUUGCCGCCCGUACCCCAAACCGACACUGGUGGUCAGGUAGAGAAUACCAAAGCGAUCGAGCGAAUCCUGGUCAAGGAACUCGGCAAAUUGCUCCCGUGCCUUCGGCAUAAGGGAGACCCCCUGCGGUGAUGAGCGGCGGGGGGUGGCACAGGCCAGGGGGUAGCGACUGUUUACCAAAAACACAGGAGCGUGCGAAGGCGCAAGCUGCUGUAUACGCUCUGACGCCUGCCCGGUGCCGGAAGGUUAAGAGGAUCCGUCAGCUUCUGCGAAGCGGUGAAUUCAAGCCCCGGUAAACGGCGGUGGUAACAAUAACCAUCCUAAGGUAGCGAAAUUCCUUGUCGGGUAAGUUCCGACCUGCACGAAUGGCGUAACGACUUCCCCACUGUCUCGACCAGGAGCUCGGCGAAAUUGCAGUACGAGUAAAGAUGCUCGUUAAGCGCAGAAGGACGAAAAGACCCCGGGACCUUUACUAUACCUUGGUAUUGGCAUUAGGCGCGGAUUGUGUAGCAUAGGCGGGAGGCUUCGAGGCGGGUGCGCCAGCAUCCGCGGAGCCGCAAGGUGAAAUACCGCUCUGUUCUCGUUUGAUGUCUAACCUCGAACAGUCAUCCUGUUCAGGGACAGUGCCUGGCGGGUAGUUCAACUGGGGCGGUUGCCUCCCAAAGAGUAACGGAGGCGCUCAAAGGUCCGCUCGGCCCGGUUGGCAAUCGGGUGUCGAGUGUAAUCGCACAAGCGGGCUUGACUGCGAGAUCGACAGAUCGAGCAGGGACGAAAGUCGGAGAUAGUGAUCCGGUGCCGGCGCACGGGCGCGGCAUCGCUCAACGGAUAAAAGGUACCCCGGGGAUAACAGGCUGAUCAUUCCCAAGAGUCCAUAUCGACGGGAUGGUUUGGCACCUCGAUGUCGGCUCGUCGCAUCCUGGGGCUGGAGCAGGUCCCAAGGGUUCGGCUGUUCGCCGAUCAAAGCGGCACGCGAGCUGGGUUCAGAACGUCGUGAGACAGUUUGGUCUCUAUCCUCUGCGCUCGUUGGAAUCUUGAGGAGGCCUGCCCAUAGUACGAGAGGACCUGGGUGGACGAACCUCUGGUAUGCCGGUCGUCACGCCAGUGGCGCGGCCGGUUGGCUACGUUCGGAAGGGAUAACCGCUGAAAGCAUCUAAGCGGGAAGCCUUCUCCAAGAUAAGGAUUCCAUGCGGCCCCGAGCCGCUGAAGACCCCAUGCAGAACACGUGGUCGAUAGGCCGGACGUGGAAGCCCCGCGAGGGGUGGAGCCGACCGGUACUAAUGGUCGAGAGGC
This 1439-nucleotide ribosomal RNA is filed under the name metagenome. Its description in RNAcentral is "bacterial LSU rRNA". It matches the Rfam family "Bacterial large subunit ribosomal RNA", at positions 1484 to 2917 of the family's 2925-position model. The record is from RNAcentral.